RNAcentral lists this transfer RNA (72 nucleotides) under Armatimonadota bacterium. Its description in RNAcentral is "tRNA-Arg". It matches the Rfam family "tRNA". Rfam says of the family: Transfer RNA (tRNA) molecules are approximately 80 nucleotides in length. Lineage: Bacteria; Bacillati; Armatimonadota. The record is from RNAcentral.
GGCCUCGUAGCACAAUGGAUAGUGCAGACCUCUCCUAAGGGUAAGAUCGGGGUUCGAUUCCCUGCGGGGCCA